GAAGAGAAGAGAAGAGAAGAGAAGAGAAGAGAAGAGAAGAGAAGAGAAGAGAAUGAUCCUGUUUGGCCAGAAAAAUGAUCUGUUAUUUCACUUCUAGGUUUCUUCAGUUUCUAUGUACCACACAAAGUGAAUUUCCACUCUUAACCAUGCAGGCAUAGGUGUGCACCAACACAAUGAAACACCAGCUAAACAGGAAUAGUAAAUUAUUAAAAGUAUAUUUCUUCAAAAUAUUUGACUAUGGAGAAGAUGUAGUGUGUGGGUGUGAGAAGAUCAUUGGAUUUAACUCUAUUUUUUCACUUCAGUGCCAUUGUGAGAAAGUUUAAAGAAUUUCUGCUCUGUGCAUAAGUGAAAGGAAGAGGAUGAAUCCUGGUUUCUUCACAGAAACAGUCUACUGAAGUUAUCUGGACUACUUGACUACUUAAAACCAUUAUCUGGACUCAUACCAGAGCAUUACAGGUGAUGUUCCAAGGAAUACAUAAUAUGUUUUGUUUGUGUAAGCAAGAGACUGCAGGACCUGGAUACUUUACUGACCAAGGUUAAUUUUGAGAAAUGUAAAUGAGAAUCAGCUGCUGUGGGAUUUUCAGUAUCUAAUAAUUUACUUCAUUUACAGUGCUCUUUAUAGUUAUUUCAUGCUCCACAGUGUUUAUUAUAAAGCUAGCUUAUAUUUUUCCCAUGAAGACUACACUGCUCAGAGAAAAUAUCUUUGAAAACACAUGUUGUUACAUAAGAGCCUGUUUGUGGGAACUUCGGGGAAUUUGUGCUGACUUGCUUAAUCAUCCUCUGGAGAGCAACAACCCCUACUUCCUGUCUGCUUCUAUUACUUGUUGCUGUGCCUUAAAAAGAGAGUGCAACCAGGAAGAAAACAUUUCUAAACCAACAGAAAACACU
Cyanistes caeruleus (blue tit) is the source of this 888-nucleotide non-coding RNA. Lineage: Eukaryota; Metazoa; Chordata; Aves; Passeriformes; Paridae. The record is from RefSeq and is a predicted model, not a curated record.